Molecule: long non-coding RNA, 786 nt
Organism: Folsomia candida
Lineage: Eukaryota; Metazoa; Arthropoda; Collembola; Entomobryomorpha; Isotomidae
Exons: 3
Source: RefSeq, a predicted model, not a curated record
CUUCAAAAUUCGUUUCGAAUGCGAGCAACUCACACUGACUUUGGGAACUAGCAUAUAUUACGUCAUCACAAAAAAGAAAAGAGAUGAAAGAGGGGAGAGAAUUCCCAAUUGGGGCUGUCAUCGCGGUCAUGUUCUUCCUGGUGUACUUUGUCAUCAUUCUGAACGAAAUAGUGUUCCCCGGGGUAUUUUGGGAACUGAGAAAUGCGACCAACAAGUCGACCGAAGAAAUUAGGAAACACUACUGCUCUCUAACGAGUCCAUGGCGGGACGAGUGCUUUUAGCCGCUGCUGGAAGGAAUUUUAGAAAAUGUGUGUGAAUAAAAAUGAUGCAUUUUGUAAACUCUAAAUAAUUUGGCGGUAAAUCGUCACCCGUGAAGGUACUUUACUCACUGUCCUAUUUUUUGGUAAUAAUUUGAGAGGCGUUUUAUCACCAACAGGAAAUAGGUAGGAAAAAAAUCUGGUGACAAAUGUGACUUUGUAACAGAAUUAAAUACGUUUAUACACAAAAUGUUAAGCGUUUUAAAAUAAUGACGACAGGCUUGACUGGUACUCGAAUAUUUGGCUUAUUUCCCGUUGGUGACAAAAUGUCUCCUUAAUCAUUACCCAAAAAUAGAGCACUAUAGUACCUCCGUGGGUGAUGAUUUGUCUGCAAAUUAUUUACAGUGCAUACAUCUUAAUUUCGAAUUUACUUUGGGAAAAAAUUUGGAAAAUGCAGACUCAAAUUUUAUUUUACAAAAUUCUAGUAGCAGUUAAAUAGGGAUAUAAAGAUUUAUGUAUGUACAAAAUG